UCCGGUUGAUCCUGCCGAAGGCUACUGCUAUUGGAGUUCGAUUAAGCCAUGCGAGUCUAAGGGAUACUUGUAUCCCUGGCAUAAUGCUCAGUAACACGUGGAUAAUCUGCCCUCAGGUGAGGAAUAAACCCGGGAAACUGGGGCUAAUACCUCAUAGACACAGAAAGCUGGAAUGCUUCUGUGUUCAAAGCUCCGGCGCCUGAGGAUGAGUCUGCGGCCUAUCAGGUUGUAGUCAGGGUCAUGACCUGACUAGCCAACGACGGGUACGGGGUGUGAGAGCACUUGCCCGGAGAUGGUUUCUGAGACACGAAACCAGGCCCUACGGGGCGCAGCAGGCGCGAAAACUUCGCAAUGCGGGAAACCGUGACGAGGGAACUCCAAGUGUCUAUGCAUUGCAUAGACUGUUUUUUAGCCUAAAUAGCUAAAAGAGUAAGAGGUGGGCAAGACCGGUGCCAGCCGCCGCGGUAACACCGGCACCUCGAGUGGUAGCCACUAUUAUUGGGCCUAAAGCGUUCGUAGCCGGUUUGGUAAAUUCUUGGGUAAAUCGUACAGCUUAACUGUGCGGAUUCCGGGGACACUACCAGACUUGAGACCGGGAGAGAUCAGAGGUACUUGUAGGGGAGCGGUGAAAUGUUGUAAUCCUACAGGGACCACCAGUGGCGAAGGCGUCUGAUCAUAACGGCUUUGACGGUGAGGAACGAAACCCUGGGGCGCAAACGGGAUUAGAUACCCCGGUAGUCCAGGGCGUAAACGCUGCUGACUUGGUGUUGGAGAUCCUACGAGGGUGUCCAGUGCUGGCGCGAAGGCAUUUAGUCAGCCGCCUGGGGAGUACGGUCGCAAGACUGAAACUUAAAGGAAUUGGCGGGGGAGCACUGCAACGUGUGGAGCGUGCGGUUUAAUUGGAGUCAACGCCGGG
This 916-nucleotide ribosomal RNA is filed under the name uncultured marine archaeon. RNAcentral describes it as "bacterial SSU rRNA". It matches the Rfam family "Archaeal small subunit ribosomal RNA", at positions 1 to 922 of the family's 1478-position model. The record is from RNAcentral.